CCACGUCAGUUUUUUCCUUCGUUC
RNAcentral lists this ribosomal RNA (24 nucleotides) under Pseudo-nitzschia caciantha. Its description in RNAcentral is "partial 5.8S ribosomal RNA". Lineage: Eukaryota; Bacillariophyta; Bacillariophyceae; Bacillariales; Bacillariaceae. The record is from RNAcentral.